CGUGGAGCGGUAGGGGCUGUCGUAGUUGCUGCAAAGCCAACAAAUGUGGGCAGGGGAGGGCGAGGGAGAGAGGAAGGUGGAUAGUAUCAGUCAGCAAUUGCAACGCUCUCUCGCAUUAUUUUGCCAUAAAUUUAAAUUGUUUAACAUAAACGUUGAUUAAAGUCUGCAGCAUCGCAGCAUUUAGGCUGUCGCUUGAAUGGCCUCUGUCUGAGGAUCGGGGCUUGCCAGGAGGAUCGUCCUCACCCAKCCAGCCAGUCAGAUCGACACAGACAAAUAAUGCGCGUGUGUAAAAUUGAGUAAUUGCCGCACUGGCAAUCAGCGGGCAAUCAUUUCGAGCUCCCCAUCGYAACAGACAUGGACAUGGACAUGCACUUGGCUGUGGACUCCCCGGACGUGCCAUUGCUCCGGUCGCGCCUUGUGAUUUAUGUCCCGCUUGCCCAUGGUGUGGGCAACUUGAUUGGCCUGUCCUGGCUGCCACUGCGCCCGCUGCCUGACGUUUGGCUUCUUUGUUUGCAAAUGAUAAACGACGUGAGCGUCUAGCUUCUCAGUUCUACAAUUCAGUUCGCCUCAGCCCAGUGCUGAUCUACGCGUUCCUGUGUUCCUAGGAAAUGUUGCGCCAGCGAUUACAUUUGUGCGCUGCCACAGCUCGUAGGCUCUAUUACCAUCAGGGCUAAUUUAUGCAUGGCUGCUGGUGGCUUCUGCGCCAGCGACAUUGAUGGGGUCAACGAGGGCCUUUGCCACUGCUCACUGUAAAUGAUUUGACUCGAAAUCCACUGAUACUCACUAGAGUCUUGCAUGGCUAUCUUUCUAUCUAUCUGUG
Long non-coding RNA from Drosophila arizonae, 820 nucleotides. Lineage: Eukaryota; Metazoa; Arthropoda; Insecta; Diptera; Drosophilidae. The record is from RefSeq and is a predicted model, not a curated record.